This 571-nucleotide ribosomal RNA is filed under the name uncultured Glomeromycotina. RNAcentral describes it as "SSU rRNA". It matches the Rfam family "Eukaryotic small subunit ribosomal RNA", at positions 548 to 1114 of the family's 1831-position model. Lineage: Eukaryota; Fungi; Glomeromycota. The record is from RNAcentral.
UUGGAGGGCAAGUCUGGUGCCAGCAGCCGCGGUAAUUCCAGCUCCAAUAGCGUAUAUUAAAGUUGUUGCAGUUAAAAAGCUCGUAGUUGAAUUUCGGGAUUGACACAUCGGUCGUGCCUUAAGGGGUAUGAACUGGUGUAGUCAAUUUCUCACCUUCUGGAGAACCGCGAUGCCCUUAAUUGGGUGCCGCGGGGAACCAGAACCUUUACUUUGAAAAAAUUAGAGUGUUUAAAGCAGGCAUUUUGCUUGAAUACAUUAGCAUGGAAUAAUAAAAUAGGACGGCAUGAUUCUAUUUUGUUGGCUUCUAGGAUCACCGUAAUGAUUAAUAGGGAUAGUCGGAGGCAUUAGUAUUCAACUGUCAGAGGUGAAAUUCUUGGAUUUAUUGAAGACUAACUACAGCGAAAGCAUUUGCCAAGGAUGUUUUCAUUAAUCAAGAACGAAAGUUAGGGGAUCGAAGACGAUCAGAUACCGUCGUAGUCUUAACCAUAAACUAUGCCGACUAGGAAUCAGACGAUGUUAAUUUUUUAAUGACUCGUUUGGCACCUUACGGGAAACCAAAGUGUUUGGGUUC